Molecule: ribosomal RNA, 460 nt
Filed under: uncultured bacterium
Lineage: Bacteria
Description: partial 16S ribosomal RNA
Rfam family: Bacterial small subunit ribosomal RNA
Source: RNAcentral
CCUACGGGUGGCAGCAGUGAGGAAUAUUUGUCAAUGGACGAGAGUCUGAUCCAGCCAAGUCGCGUGAAGGAUGACUGCCCUUUGGGUUGUAAACUUCUUUUAUAUGGGAAUAAAAUGUUCCACGUGUGGGAUUUUGUAUGUACCAUAUUAAUACGGAUCGGCUAACUCCGUGCCUACAGCCGCGGUAAUACGGGGGAUCCGAGCGUUAUCCGGAUUUAUUGGGUUUAAAGGGAGCAUAGGUGGAUUGUUAAGUCAGGUGUGAAAGGUUGCGGCUCAACCGUAAAAUUGCAGUUGAAACUGGCAGUCUUGAGUACAGUAGAGGUGGGCGGAAUUCGUGGUGUAGCGGUGAAAUGCUUAGAUAUCACGAAGAACUCCGAUUGCGAAGGCAGGUCACUGGACUGCAACUGACACUGAGGCUCGAAAGUGUGGGUAUCAAACAGGAUUAGAUACCCCAGUAGUC